RNAcentral lists this ribosomal RNA (494 nucleotides) under uncultured bacterium. RNAcentral's name for it is "bacterial SSU rRNA". It matches the Rfam family "Bacterial small subunit ribosomal RNA", at positions 29 to 507 of the family's 1533-position model. The record is from RNAcentral.
AGCGAACGUUAGCGGCGGGCCUAACACAUGCAAGUCGAACGAGAAAAUCCCUUCGGGGGUGAGUACAGUGGCGCACGGGUGAGGAACGCGUAGGUAAUCUACCCUCUGGCGGGGGACAACACUCCGAAAGGAAUGCUAAUACCGCGUAAGACCACACCUACUACGGUAGGAGGGGUUAAAGGUGCCUCAAAGCACCACCAGAGGAUGAGCCUGCGUCCCAUCAGCUUGUUGGUAAGGUAACGGCUUACCAAGGCGAAGACGGGUAGCUGGUCUGAGAGGAUGAUCAGCCACACUGGUACUGGAACACGGACCAGACUCCUACGGGAGGCAGCAGUGAGGAAUAUUGGGCAAUGGGCGAAAGCCUGACCCAGCCACGCCGCGUGUGUGAUGAAGGCCUUCGGGUCGUAAAGCACAGUGGGGAGAGACGAAACAGCGCAUCAGGAAAUGGUUGCGCCUUGACGGUACCUCCUUAGCAAGCACCGGCUAACUCUGUG